CCUAGAAGUGAACCACACACUUCCCUGGCUUUCUGCUUUAUUGACGCUGUGCUUCCCAAGCACAGUCAUCAGCAUGAAAAUACAAGUUUGUUUGAAAGUUCGUUCGGACACUAUCUUGAUGUGGUUUUCCUAUUAUGGUUCUGCAUUAUUGGGAAGGAUACCACAGCUAUACCAUUUUCAGUGCAUCGUCUUAGAUUGAUCAUCUGAUUAAGAGGUGGAAGCUGGAAUUACCCCACUAAGAUCUUUAAGGAAAACCAGUAUACCUGAUUUCCCAUAAAUGAAAGAGAUUAGCCAAGAAAAUGUUUAAAAAGGACAAUAAGGGUGAAAAAGUGGGAUCAACCUCAAUGUCUGGCUCAUCUGUGAUGAAACCGCAGGAUGGAUUAGCAUGCCUUCUAUUCAAGUGUUAAAAAGAUGGAUUGUAUUUACAUGGUUUGAACUGGAAAGAUCUGCAGAAGUAAAAUGGAAAAUGCCAGGUCUCUUCCAAACUGUAAAUACACUUAAAUAUUAAAGCAAUGAGAUUGAAGAUGGCUUCAAGUAACUUGUCAUGACCUCUCCAAGCAAGUCCUGAGCUCUGUGGAACAGAAACAUGUUGGAUUCUAGCUUCAAAUCUGUUGUCAAUGAUGCGGAUGGCUGAAGUUUUAUUUGGAAAACAGCAGUUGGUAUGAAAACUCUUCUACUGCUUACAUUUAAAAUAUCCCAUACAGACACAUGGCAUGGAGAGGAUGUCAAGACUGAAAUUUUCUAAUAUGGGACUUAAACUCUAGCCUGACCUGGAACUCUGCAGGAGGCAGGAACACUACAAGAGCCAUUUUUCUUAGAUUGUACAUGGUAUUAUGGUCAAGUCUCAAGAUGUUACAAGGUACAAAGUAGUUGGCUAAAAAUACAGCCAGAGGUCUGUACUUCUCUUCUUUCCUGCAUCUGUGAGAUGACAGCUUUCAAGCAUCCAGAUGAGGACCACAUUUUGACCUGAGUUGGGUACUUAUGCCAACAAGAGCCUGUGGUCCUCGCCCAACUGCCAUCUGCACACCCUAAGAUCAUCUCCCUCCAGCGUGCCCCCACUCUGCCUGACAGUGCCCAGCCAAGGGCUGAUCCAUGCCCAACACUCCUAGCCAGCCUGCUGUUUGCUUGAAAUCCCAUCCCAGAAACUGGAGUACUUUGGAGACUGGGUGAACAAGUCUCCAGAAGAGAUUUUGGCCUCCCAAGGAAUUUCCCAUUGUGGACUUGCAGGGAGGGUGGAGGAGGGCACAUGGGCUGAGUGGAUAAGGGCAGCCCAGAGCCAGCCAGGCAGUUUUAUUGAAAUAUUUUU
Molecule: long non-coding RNA, 1306 nt
Organism: Canis lupus familiaris (dog)
Lineage: Eukaryota; Metazoa; Chordata; Mammalia; Carnivora; Canidae
Exons: 8
Source: RefSeq, a predicted model, not a curated record